AACGAACGCUGGCGGCAUGCCUAACACAUGCAAGUCGAACGAGACCUUCGGGUCUAGUGGCGCACGGGUGCGUCACGCGUGGGAACCUUCCCUUAGGUUCGGAAUAACUCCCCGAAAGGGGUGCUAAUACCGGAUAAUGUCUUCGGACCAAAGAUUUAUCGCCUUUGGAUGGGCCCGCGUUGGAUUAGCUAGUUGGUAGGGUAAAAGCCUACCAAGGCGACGAUCCAUAGCUGGUCAGAGAGGAUGAUUAGCCACACUGGGACUGGGAAACGGCCCAGACUCCUACGGGAGGCAGCAGUGGGGAAUAGUGGAAAGUGGGCGAAAGGAUGAUCGAGCACGGCCGCGUGAGUGAUGAAGGCCUUAGGGUUGUAAAGCUCUUUUACCCGGGAUGAUAAUGACAGUACCGGGAGAAUAAGCUCCGGCUAACUCCGUG
RNAcentral lists this ribosomal RNA (433 nucleotides) under uncultured bacterium. RNAcentral's name for it is "partial 16S ribosomal RNA". It matches the Rfam family "Bacterial small subunit ribosomal RNA", at positions 29 to 507 of the family's 1533-position model. The record is from RNAcentral.